This 71-nucleotide non-coding RNA is filed under the name Acidobacteriota bacterium. RNAcentral's name for it is "Acidobacteria bacterium Fluoride sequence". It matches the Rfam family "Fluoride riboswitch aptamer (crcB RNA motif)". Lineage: Bacteria; Pseudomonadati; Acidobacteriota. The record is from RNAcentral.
CACUACAUAGGCGAUGGAGUUCGCCACAUAACCGUCCUGUUUUUGACAGGGCUGAUAACUCCUGGUCAUAU